UAAACUGAAGAGUUUGAUCAUGGCUCAGAUUGAACGCUGGCGGCAGGCCUAACACAUGCAAGUCGAGCGAGAAAGCC
Molecule: ribosomal RNA, 77 nt
Filed under: Candidatus Endobugula sertula (Bugula neritina bacterial symbiont)
Lineage: Bacteria; Pseudomonadati; Pseudomonadota; Gammaproteobacteria; Cellvibrionales; Cellvibrionaceae
Description: partial 16S ribosomal RNA
Rfam family: Bacterial small subunit ribosomal RNA
Source: RNAcentral